RNAcentral lists this long non-coding RNA (584 nucleotides) under Homo sapiens (human). RNAcentral describes it as "HSALNT0293390". Lineage: Eukaryota; Metazoa; Chordata; Mammalia; Primates; Hominidae. The record is from RNAcentral.
UGAAUGAGUAUAAAGCCUUUCAGGCAGCUUUUAGUGACACACUUGAAGAAAUUUAUUGUUUCGUUGAGCAUUAUUACAGAUCAGCAUUGUCAAGAACCAAUGGUGUUCCCUGAAGAAAGAAUACAACAUGGGACACAGGACUCUCAGAAAGAAAAAUACUGACUCUGCAAAACCAAAUACAUCUGGAAUCCGAAUCCUCUUGCAAAACUCUGAGCAGUGAUAUCCAACCUUUCUGGCACCCAGAGACCACCGGACCUCCUUUUCUACAAUCAAGCCAAACCAGUUCCUGUUGUUGGUGCCAAGAUAGACUACAGCUGGAAAUUCCCCAAAUGACCAACAGAUCACCUGGUGCCAACUGACUGACCACCAGGAAGAGCGACUAUUGACUUUGGGCUUAAAAGUCAUCUAAUCCACACUGUUUCUCACUCCCCUGACUACCCUCCUCUGCCCUGAGGUUUUUUUGCCUUUAUAAUCUCCUAUUCACUGACCCUGCCUGAGAGCAUGAUUUCUUUUUACACCAGGGGCUGCAUCUCCCCAAUCUGCAAAUUGUUUCUUAUGGAAAAUGAAGCUUUCUCUUUUCCUUC